GAUGAACGCUGGCGGUAUGCUUAACACAUGCCAGUCGAACGGACUCUUCGGAGUUAGUGGCGGUCGGGUGAGUAACGCGUGAGAAUCUGGCUUUGGGUUCGGGACAACCACUGGAAACGGUGGCUAAUACCGGAUGUGCCGAUAGGUAAAAGAGGGAUUGUCUGAAGAUGAGCUCGCGGCUGAUUAGCUAGUUGGUGAGGUAAAGGCCCACCAAGCCAGCGAUCAGUAGCUGGUCUGAGUGGAAGACCAGCCACAGGGGGACAGAGACACGGCACAGACGUCUGCGGGGGAGAAGAGUGGAAUAUUGUACGAAGUGGGGGAGAGUGUGACAGAGAAGUACCGCGUGAGAGAAGAGGGCUCUUGUGGUGUACACCUUUUUUCUUAGAGGAGGACAGAGUGACGGUACCUAAUGAAUAAGCAUCGGCUAACUACGUG
This 435-nucleotide ribosomal RNA is filed under the name uncultured bacterium. RNAcentral's name for it is "partial 16S ribosomal RNA". It matches the Rfam family "Bacterial small subunit ribosomal RNA", at positions 28 to 507 of the family's 1533-position model. The record is from RNAcentral.